RNAcentral lists this ribosomal RNA (253 nucleotides) under uncultured bacterium. RNAcentral describes it as "partial 16S ribosomal RNA". It matches the Rfam family "Bacterial small subunit ribosomal RNA", at positions 524 to 776 of the family's 1533-position model. The record is from RNAcentral.
GACGAACCGUGCGAACGUUGUUCGGAAUCACUGGGCGUAAAGGGCGCGUAGGCGGCUUGGUCAGUCCCGUGUGAAAUCCCUCGGCUCAACUGAGGAACUGCACGGGAAACUGCCUGGCUUGAGUUCGGGAGAGGGAAGCGGAAUUCCGGGUGUAGCGGUGAAAUGCGUAGAUAUCCGGAGGAACACCGGUGGCGAAGGCGGCUUCCUGGACCGACACUGACGCUGAGGCGCGAAAGCUAGGGGAGCAAACGGG